CCACGAAUAGCACAAAGGUCACACCGGGUCACAAAGGCCCGUAAGCAACGGAGACCGGAGACGCGCGCCCCCUACCGCUCGCGGGGAGCGCGCCGGAAGCGGCGGCACGUCCGAAAGGAGCGAAGUCUGCGGAGAGGUAGGCGGGCCGGGCCCUGCGCAGCCGGUAGGACGGGCCUUGGUCGUCGCACCGCCCCUCCUAGGCCGCGAUUCGCUAGGAAGACUCCUACGGCUGGGAGGCCAUUUUUGUGCUUGUGUUUACGCCUCCCGACCGCGGAACCAGGAUGUCUUCAACUGAUGUAA
This 300-nucleotide long non-coding RNA is filed under the name Fukomys damarensis (Damara mole-rat). Its description in RNAcentral is "lncRNA (ENSFDAG00000026923.1)". Lineage: Eukaryota; Metazoa; Chordata; Mammalia; Rodentia; Bathyergidae. The record is from RNAcentral.